GUAGGUUACUCUGACGUUACUGUUCUAUUCUGCUUUUCCCUGGUAGCAUUGAGUUGUGUUCUGUUGCCAUUAUUUGGUUUGCUAUUGCCUUGACUAUAACAUGCCUCGUUUUCUUGAUCUUCCUUAGCUGCCAAUCAUUAUUGUCUUUGUUCAGUAUUGCUGUCCUUAUCCGGAACCACCGAUGUCAUUGUUGCUGCUUCCCCAGAAGAACUGAUGUUACUGCUACUGUUCCGGCCGUACUAGCUAUUGUAAACUGGAAAAAGAAGGGGAUCGCCACAUUUAAAUUCGACGGUUUCGACUAACUGAGCGACAGGUUUGAAGACGCAAUUUGAAGCUGCAAGCGAUCAGUAGGCUUUCUUUAUGGUUUUAAUUGCUUUCAUAGAGUCCCCUCACUAUUGUCCUUUGAGAAUUCAUUUUACAUAGAGGGGUAGGUUUAGUAUAUUGUAUUUGAGUUUUAUUUGGUCUCUUUUGUAUAAGAAUUAUUAUCAAUAAUAUCUAUGUGAUUAUUAUUAUUUGUGAA
Non-coding RNA from Arachis ipaensis, 520 nucleotides. The record is from RefSeq and is a predicted model, not a curated record. Lineage: Eukaryota; Viridiplantae; Streptophyta; Magnoliopsida; Fabales; Fabaceae.